CAAGUUUUUAAGGGCGCACGGUGGAUGCCUUGGCACCAGGAACCGAUGAAGGACGUGGGAGGCCACGAUAGGCCCCGGGGAGUCGUCAACCAGGCUUUGAUCCGGGGGUGUCCGAAUGGGGAAACCCGGCAGUCGUCAUGGGCUGUCACCCUUGCCUGAACACAUAGGGCAAGUGGAGGGAACGCGGGGAAGUGAAACAUCUCAGUACCCGCAGGAAGAGAAAACAACCGUGAUUCCGGGAGUAGUGGCGAGCGAAACCGGAUGAGGCCAAACCGUAUGCGUGUGAGACCCGGCAGGGGUUGCGCAUACGGGGUUGUGGGAUCUCUCUUUCAUGGUCUGCCGGCCAUGAGACGAGUCAGAAACCGUUGAUGUAGGCGAAGGACAUGCGAAAGGUCCGGCGUAGAGGGUAAGACCCCCGUAGUCGAAACGUCAGCGGCUCGUUUGAGAGACACCCAAGUAGCACGGGGCCCGAGAAAUCCCGUGUGAAUCUGGCGGGACCACCCGCUAAGCCUAAAUAUUCCCUGGUGACCGAUAGCGGAUAGUACCGUGAGGGAAUGGUGAAAAGUACCGCGGGAGCGGAGUGAAAUAGUACCUGAAACCGUGUGCCUACAAGCCGUGGGAGCGUCGCGUUGAGUGCUUGCACUCAACGUCGUGACUGCGUGCCUUUUGAAGAAUGAGCCUGCGAGUUUGCGGUGUGUUGCGAGGUUAACCCGGGUGGGGAAGCCGUAGCGAAAGCGAGUCCGAACAGGGCGGUUCAGUAGCAUGCUCAAGACCCGAAGCGGAGUGAUCUAGCCAUGGGCAGGUUGAAGCGGAGGUAAGACUUCGUGGAGGACCGAACCCACCAGGGUUGAAAACCUGGGGGAUGACCUGUGGUUAGGGGUGAAAGGCCAAUCAAACUCCGUGAUAGCUGGUUCUCCCCGAAAUGCAUUUAGGUGCAGCGUCGUGUGUUUCUUGCCGGAGGUAGAGCACUGGAUAGGCGAUGGGCCCUACCGGGUUACUGACCUUAGCCAAACUCCGAAUGCCGGUAAGUGAGAGCGCGGCAGUGAGACUGUGGGGGAUAAGCUCCAUGGUCGAGAGGGAAACAGCCCAGAGCAUCGACUAAGGCCCCUAAGCGUACGCUAAGUGGGAAAGGAUGUGGAGUCGCACAGACAACCAGGAGGUUGGCUUAGAAGCAGCCACCCUUGAAAGAGUGCGUAAUAGCUCACUGGUCUAGUGAUUCCGCGCCGACAAUGUAGCGGGGCUCAAGCGUACCGCCGAAGUCGUGUCAUUGCAGCAGAUAGCCCCAACGGGUGCUGUGAUGGGUAGGGGAGCGUCGUCUGCCGGGUGAAGCAGCCGCGGAAGCGAGUUGUGGACGGUUGACGAGUGAGAAUGCAGGCAUGAGUAGCGAUUCACACGUGAGAAACGUGUGCGCCGAUUGACUAAGGGUUCCUGGGUCAAGCUGAUCUGCCCAGGGUAAGUCGGGACCUAAGGCGAGGCCGACAGGCGUAGUCGAUGGAUAACCGGUUGAUAUUCCGGUACCCGCUGUGAAGCGUCAAACAUCGAAUCCAGUGAUGCUAAGCCCGUGAAGCCGCCGGCUGAGUCUUCGGACGAGGUCGGAGUGGUGGAGCCGGUGACCCGAGCUGGUAGUAGGUGAGUGAUGGGGUGACGCAGGAAGGUAGUCCAUCCCGGGCGGUGGUUGUCCCGGGGUAAGGGUGUAGGACGUCAGGUAGGCAAAUCCGCCUGGCACAUAGUCUGAGACCUGAUGCCGAGCCGAUUGUGGUGAAGUGGAUGAUCCUAUGCUGUCGAGAAAAGCCUCUAGCGAGUUUCAUGGCGGCCCGUACCCUAAACCGACUCAGGUGGUCAGGUAGAGAAUACCGAGGCGUUCGGGUGAACUAUGGUUAAGGAACUCGGCAAAAUGCCCCCGUAACUUCGGGAGAAGGGGGGCCACAUCCGGUGAUCCGAUUUACUCGGUGAGCUGGGGGUGGCCGCAGAGACCAGCGAGAAGCGACUGUUUACUAAAAACACAGGUCCGUGCGAAGCCGUAAGGCGAUGUAUACGGACUGACGCCUGCCCGGUGCUGGAACGUUAAGGGGACCGGUUAGCUUGGAUUCGUCCAGGCGAAGCUGAGAACUUAAGCGCCAGUAAACGGCGGUGGUAACUAUAACCAUCCUAAGGUAGCGAAAUUCCUUGUCGGGUAAGUUCCGACCUGCACGAAUGGCGUAACGACUUCUCGACUGUCUCAACCAUAGGCCCGGUGAAAUUGCACUACGAGUAAAGAUGCUCGUUUCGCGCAGCAGGACGGAAAGACCCCGGGACCUUUACUACAGUUUGAUAUUGGUGUUCGGUUCGGCUUGUGUAGGAUAGCUGGGAGACUGUGAAGCUCGGACGCCAGUUCGGGUGGAGUCGUCGUUGAAAUACCAGUCUGGUCGUGCUGGAUGUCUAACCUGGGUCCGUGAUCCGGAUCAGGGACAGUGUCUGAUGGGUAGUUUAACUGGGGCGGUUGCCUCCUAAAGGGUAACGGAGGCGCCCAAAGGUUCCCUCAGCCUGGUUGGCAAUCAGGUGUUGAGUGUAAGUGCACAAGGGAGCUUGACUGUGAGACCGACGGGUCGAGCAGGGACGAAAGUCGGGACUAGUGAUCCGGCGGUGGCUUGUGGAAGCGCCGUCGCUCAACGGAUAAAAGGUACCCCGGGGAUAACAGGCUGAUCUUCCCCAAGAGUCCAUAUCGACGGGAUGGUUUGGCACCUCGAUGUCGGCUCGUCGCAUCCUGGGGCUGGAGUCGGUCCCAAGGGUUGGGCUGUUCGCCCAUUAAAGCGGUACGCGAGCUGGGUUUAGAACGUCGUGAGACAGUUCGGUCCCUAUCCGCUGUGCGCGUAGGAGUCUUGAGAAGGGCUGUCCCUAGUACGAGAGGACCGGGACGGACGAACCUCUGGUGUGCCAGUUGUUCUGCCAAGGGCAUGGCUGGUUGGCUACGUUCGGGAGGGAUAACCGCUGAAAGCAUCUAAGCGGGAAGCCUGCUUCGAGAUGAGGACUCCCACCUCCUAGAGAGGGUAAGGCUCCCAGUAGACGACUGGGUUGAUAGGCCGGAUAUGGAAGCACGGUAACGUGUGGAGUUGACCGGUACUAAUAGGCCGAGGGCUUGUCC
This 3121-nucleotide ribosomal RNA is filed under the name Streptomyces albogriseolus. RNAcentral describes it as "23S ribosomal RNA". It matches the Rfam family "Bacterial large subunit ribosomal RNA". Lineage: Bacteria; Bacillati; Actinomycetota; Actinomycetes; Kitasatosporales; Streptomycetaceae. The record is from RNAcentral.